RNAcentral lists this long non-coding RNA (606 nucleotides) under Capra hircus (goat). Its description in RNAcentral is "lncRNA (ENSCHIG00000007621.1)". Lineage: Eukaryota; Metazoa; Chordata; Mammalia; Artiodactyla; Bovidae. The record is from RNAcentral.
GGCAGAUGAGGGCACAGGUCUCUGGGCAGAGUUUUCAAGCUCAGGGCCGAGUGGAGGAGGGAGAGAGCAGGGGAUGCUGUGCGUUCAGAGGAAGGACAAGCCACCUGGUUAUAAACUAGUGUCUGUAUUUUCAAGCGAUAUGCUGCUGCUGCUGCUGCACUGCUUCAAUCGUGUCUCAGGUCUUCCUCUUGGUGCCUCCACCCCUAAGCCAGUCAUUCUCUCUGAGCACAAGGAUCUUCUCUGUUGGCACUGCCUCUCUCACCUGGGAAACAUCCAGUGUGAGUAAGAUUUCUCUGGCCAGGCUCCCGCAGACCUGGGAAACCCAAGAGAUGGAAAAGAGUGGUUGGUUUCUGCAGAAAAAUGUCAGCUGCUCUGAAAGAACAUGGUGACCAACUUCUUCCAUGGGGCACUGGGGCCCUUUGCUCUUGUCCCAGUGGAGCUUUGAACACAAGCUACCUGCUCUCCUUGCUUGGUCCUGCAAUAAACCUUUCUCUGCUCCAAACCCUGUCUCAGUUUGCUUGACCUCACUGCGCUUCGGGCACAUGAACCGUAUUCAGCAGUGUGACUUAAGUAAUUUGAUCUUUGUGCGCCUUGGUUUUCUUACCG